AGUGAACGCUGGCGGUAGGCCUAACACAUGCAAGUCGAACGGCAGCACAGUAAGAGCUUGCUCUUACGGGUGGCGAGUGGCGGACGGGUGAGGAAUACAUCGGAAUCUACUUUUUCGUGGGGGAUAACGUAGGGAAACUUACGCUAAUACCGCAUACGACCUACGGGUGAAAGCAGGGGAUCUUCGGACCUUGCGCGAUUGAAUGAGCCGAUGUCGGAUUAGCUAGUUGGCGGGGUAAAGGCCCACCAAGGCGACGAUCCGUAGCUGGUCUGAGAGGAUGAUCAGCCACACUGGAACUGAGACACGGUCCAGACUCCUACGGGAGGCAGCAGUGGGGAAUAUUGGACAAUGGGCGCAAGCCUGAUCCAGCCAUACCGCGUGGGUGAAGAAGGCCUUCGGGUUGUAAAGCCCUUUUGUUGGGAAAGAAAAGCAGCAGGUUAAUACCCCGCUGUUCUGACGGUACCCAAAGAAUCAGCACCGGCUAACUUCGUG
This 492-nucleotide ribosomal RNA is filed under the name uncultured bacterium. RNAcentral's name for it is "partial 16S ribosomal RNA". It matches the Rfam family "Bacterial small subunit ribosomal RNA", at positions 29 to 507 of the family's 1533-position model. The record is from RNAcentral.